GCCCAGCCGUAAACAAUUAACUCACACCCAUAAGCGCCAGGGAACUACGAGCCAUGCUUAAAACCCAAAGGAUUUGACGGUGUCCCACCCCCCUAGAGGAGCCUGUUCUAUAAUCGAUGAUCCCCGAUACACCCGACCACCCCUUGCCCAUCAGUCUGUAUACCUCCGUCGAAAGCUUACCAUGUGAACGUCUACAGUAGGUUCAAGGACCCGCAUUAGCGCGUCAAUACGUCAGGUCAAGGUGCAACUUAAGGAGUGGGAAGUAAUUUGCUACAAUUUCUAACCUAGAACAAACGAAAGACUGUGUGAAACCACAGUCACGAAGGCGGAUUUAGUAGUAAAAAGAAAAUAGAGAGUUCUUUUUAACCCGGCUCUGGGACGCGUACACACCGCC
RNAcentral lists this ribosomal RNA (394 nucleotides) under Odorrana schmackeri (piebald odorous frog). RNAcentral's name for it is "partial 12S ribosomal RNA". It matches the Rfam family "Bacterial small subunit ribosomal RNA", at positions 794 to 1394 of the family's 1533-position model. The record is from RNAcentral. Lineage: Eukaryota; Metazoa; Chordata; Amphibia; Anura; Ranidae.